UGGAAGACUAGUGAUUUUGUUGUUCUAAGCAUUAAAACUGACAACAAGUCACAGUCUACCUCA
This 63-nucleotide microRNA precursor is filed under the name Lepisosteus oculatus (spotted gar). RNAcentral describes it as "Loc-Mir-7-P3_pre stem-loop". It matches the Rfam family "mir-7 microRNA precursor family", at positions 16 to 77 of the family's 91-position model. From Rfam's summary of the family: This family represents the microRNA (miRNA) precursor mir-7. In this case the mature sequence comes from the 5' arm of the precursor. The extents of the hairpin precursors are not generally known and are estimated based on hairpin prediction. Lineage: Eukaryota; Metazoa; Chordata; Actinopteri; Semionotiformes; Lepisosteidae. The record is from RNAcentral.